This 549-nucleotide ribosomal RNA is filed under the name uncultured bacterium. RNAcentral describes it as "bacterial SSU rRNA". It matches the Rfam family "Bacterial small subunit ribosomal RNA", at positions 355 to 895 of the family's 1533-position model. The record is from RNAcentral.
UAGGGAAUCUUCCGCAAUGGACGCAANUUUGACGGAGCAACGCCGCGUGAGUGAAGAAGGUUUUCGGAUCGUAAAACUCUGUUGUUAGAGAAGAACAAGUGCUAGAGUAACUGUUAGCGCCUUGACGGUAUCUAACCAGAAAGCCACGGCUAACUACGUGCCAGCAGCCGCGGUAAUACGUAGGUGGCAAGCGUUGUCCGGAUUUAUUGGGCGUAAAGCGAGCGCAGGCGGUUCCUUAAGUCUGAUGUGAAAGUCCCCGGCUCAACCGGGGAGGGUCAUUGGAAACUGGGGAACUUGAGUGCAGAAGAGGAGAGUGGAAUUCCAUGUGUAGCGGUGAAAUGCGUAGAUAUAUGGAGGAACACCAGUGGCGAAGGCGACUCUCUGGUCUGUAACUGACGCUGAGGCUCGAAAGCGUGGGUAGCAAACAGGAUUAGAUACCCUGGUAGUCCACGCCGUAAACGAUGAGUGCUAAGUGUUGGAGGGUUUCCGCCCUUCAGUGCUGCAGUUAACGCAUUAAGCACUCCGCCUGGGGAGUACGACCGCAAGNUG